This 81-nucleotide transfer-messenger RNA is filed under the name Arenicellales bacterium. It matches the Rfam family "transfer-messenger RNA". From Rfam's summary of the family: Bacterial tmRNA, also known as 10Sa RNA or SsrA, is named for its dual tRNA and mRNA-like properties. Its role is to liberate the mRNA from a stalled ribosome. Lineage: Bacteria; Pseudomonadati; Pseudomonadota; Gammaproteobacteria; Arenicellales. The record is from RNAcentral.
GGGGUAGGAAAGGGUUCGACCAGGGAAACAACCGCAUGCGGACUCCCUGGGACCGGGGUUCGACUCCCCGCUACUCCACUC